Molecule: ribosomal RNA, 271 nt
Filed under: uncultured bacterium
Lineage: Bacteria
Description: partial 16S ribosomal RNA
Rfam family: Bacterial small subunit ribosomal RNA
Source: RNAcentral
UACGUAGGGUGCGAGCGUUAAUCGGAAUUACUGGGCGUAAAGCGCGCGUAGGUGGUUUGUUAAGUUGGAUGUGAAAUCCCCGGGCUCAACCUGGGAACUGCAUUCAAAACUGACAAGCUAGAGUAUAGUAGAGGAGAGGGGAAUUCCUGGUGUAGCAGUGAAAUGCGUAGAGAUCAGGAGGAACAUCAGUGGCGAAGGCGCCUCUCUGGACUAAUACUGACACUGAAAAGCGAAGGCGUGGGGAUCAAACAGGAUUAGAAACCCGAGUAGU